Molecule: ribosomal RNA, 209 nt
Filed under: uncultured bacterium
Lineage: Bacteria
Description: partial 16S ribosomal RNA
Rfam family: Bacterial small subunit ribosomal RNA
Source: RNAcentral
AGUUCGGAUUGAAGGCUGAAAUUCGCCUUCAUGAAGCCGGAAUUGCUAGUAAUGGCAGGUCAGCAUACUGCCGUGAAUACGUUCCCGGGCCUUGUACACACCGCCCGUCACACCAUGAGAGUUGGGAAUACCCGAAGCCUGUGAGCUAACGAAAGAGGCAGCAGUCGAAGGUAGAAUCAAUGAUUGGGGUGAAGUCGUAACAAGGUAAC